Sus scrofa (pig) is the source of this 2492-nucleotide non-coding RNA. The record is from RefSeq and is a predicted model, not a curated record. NCBI's taxonomy places the organism in Eukaryota, Metazoa, Chordata, Mammalia, Artiodactyla, Suidae.
AAAAGGCAAAAAAGACAAAAAAAAAAAAAAAAACCUUCAUGUAAAGAGCAUCAUAUUCUAUGUACCUGUCCAUCACCUGGUUUUUACUUGUGAGAAUUUCCUGUGUUAAUAAUCUGGCCAUUUCCUUUAUUCUAAAGGAUUUGUCCAUUCUCUCCCCCGUGGAUGUUUUAAGCCAACCCUGACUUUGAUUACAAGCAAUGUUGAUGACGGACUCGUGGUAAGAGGGGAUCUGUGCUCGUGACAGUCUCCACAGGGGCUGGCAAGUUCACAAUCUGUUGGGCAGACUGGCAGGCUGGAAAUCAGGACAGUAAGGGCUGUGUGGAUAAACAGGUGGAUCACGCAGCAGAGGCUCUUCACAAAUCAGAUGUACUUAGCACCUUAUCCAAUGACCGCCGUGGGCUUAGCGCAUAGUCCCUGGAUUCCAAGUGCUGGAUAGACUGAUGGGUGACAAGUGCAAACUGUACAAAUCCCACCUGAGGAAGACUGAGCACGAAACAGUGAGUGUGGCCCCCAAGUGCUGUAGACAUUCAGAGAAAGUAGAGAUGAAAGAGGAGGCAGGUUUGGAUGGGCAAAGAGAACCCUCAAGGCGUGAGGGUUAAAAUGAGCAAAGACCAUGAAGUAGGAAAUCAUGAGAAGACCAGUCUGGCUGGAGUGAAAGAUGCGGAACCCCAGCGGGCGGGCAGCCAGCCAGAAAAGGAUGUGGGCUUUAGAAGUAGCCUAGGAACGGUUAAGAGCUGUGUGACAUUUACGGGGCAUGGAGUCCCACUUUUGAAAGCUCAUCCAGCUCUUGGUCUCUGACUUCUCUGCUCCUCCAUAAACUCUAUUUAGAUCUCCUGGUAUCACGCCGACUGGUUGUAUGAUAAUGCACCAUUUGUAAUUAUUUUUAUGUUUAUCCAAAUGUAACUAUCAUCAAUAAGGUUUUGAAGGGAAAGAAUAUUAGAGUGUUCUGUGGCACACAGGAAGUGCUCAAUACAGAUGACUUAACAUCUGUACCCUCGUCACGUAGCACAGGGCCUGGCAUCAGGGGCAUUCUGCACAUCUUUGCUGAACGUCGGGGUUCAGUUGCAGAUGACAGAGUCCACUGCAGUUACUUUAAAAAGAAAGGGAUUUUUUUUUAACCAAUUAACUUUUUAAAAAUUGAGGUAUAAGGGUAUAAAAAUUGAUUUACAAGAGUGUGUCCAUUUCAGAUGCCCAGCACAAUGGUUCAGCUACAAUAUGUGUACAUAUUCUUUUUCAGAUUCUUUUCCAUUAUAGGUUAUUUUAAGAUAUUGAAUAUAGUUCCCAGAGCCAUAAAGCAGUUCCUUGUUGGUUAUCUACUUUAUAUAUAGUCAUGUGUAUCUGUUAAUCCCAAACUCACAAGUUACCCAUCCUUCCCCUUUGGUAACCACAAGUUUACUCUCUAUAUCUGUGAGUCUGUAAGAAAGGGAUUUAAUACAGAGCAUUAGCUGCUUACAAAAUUGUUGGAAGGGCUAAAGGCUUGGGAUUUUAGGCUGGGCCCCCAGGAAUGACUCUCAGGAGAACAGGACUGCAACAUAGAGCCACCAAAAGAACUUCAGGAAUCUGGGCAGUCGGCACACUAUGCUACUGCCUGCCAGGCUCCAGAGUCGCACCGCUCAGCCAUACCCCAGGAUUAGGAAGUAGCCAUUGCUAAUGCUGGUCCCAGGCACACACGGUCCCAGCUGUGAUCCUGGCAUCAAAACCUACCAUCAAACCUGUUGACUGCAAAACCAGCUGUGUGUGCAUUUGAGCUCUGCCUCCUGCCCACUUAACUCGGUUCCUAAUUCCAGACUGUGUGAGUGCAUUUGAGUGACAAAUAGCAAUCACAUAGGAAACAUUAGUUGCAAAGGGUUUGGAAAAUUCCACUUUGAGUCUUUGAAAGUGACUGCAAUACACGAAAGCCCUUAGAAGAAGAUUAGAAUAAAUAAAUAAACCUGAAUAGGAAAUCCUCAUCUGCUUCCUAUUCCAAGCAUACACGAUUUAAUAUAGUUACCUGGAAAAGUCCAAACACUCACCCUCUUCCCUGCCCCCAGUUUGUACUCAAUCUAACUAUAGAUUGGAGAAAUGAUUGGCUCAUCCGGGCUGGGGCAAGGCCCCAGGGCUGGGGGGAUUAGGCAUGCUCCUGAGGGAGAGCAGCUCUGCCCACACGGAAGACCUGACACUGGAUCCCAACGGCACGAUUCAUGGAAAGGACGCCACUGUGUCCACCCUCCCCCACCCCUCAGGAAGCACCAGCCACUAAGUUAAUUCAUAGUAGAGCCGAUAGUGGUCCCAAUGCCUAGACAGUUCUCUCCUUUUUUUCUGAUUAUAAAGGUAAUCAAUGCUUGUCCUGGAACAUUAGAAGAUACAUCCAAUAAGAAAAAAGGGAAAAUUAAUCUAUAAUUAUACCACACAUUUUGGCACUUUCUCUGUCUUAUUUCUCAAAGUCAUAGGAUUUUAAAAGCAAUCCAGGGAGUUCCCGCUGUGGCUCAGCAGACUAUGAACCCAACUAGUAU